UUGAAAGGGAAACGAUUGAAGUCAGUCGUACCGGCGGGUAAUCAGCCUUUUGGGUGUGAUUAUGUGGAGCGUGAGGAGUUAAUCACCCUCAUCUUUGCAUACUCGUGCACUUUGGGUGUACUUGCUCGUGUGGUAGGUUAACAUCAAUUUUGAUCGUCAUAAAAUGAUUGGGGGAAUGUAGCUUCGAUCUCGUAUUGAAGUGUUAUAGCCUUCGGUAGAUGUGAUGAUUGGGAUUGAGGAUUGCAACGGAUACCCUUCGGGGCUACCUGUCUGAUCUCUGAAAGUUGCUCUGGUGCUGAAAGCUUGCUUACGGUAUCAAAGUUGACGUUCAACAGGUUAGAACGGGAUAAAUUCGUUAAGGAUGUUGACGUA
This 372-nucleotide ribosomal RNA is filed under the name uncultured Glomeromycotina. Its description in RNAcentral is "LSU rRNA". The record is from RNAcentral. Lineage: Eukaryota; Fungi; Glomeromycota.